GACGAACGCUGGCGGCGUGCCUAAUACAUGCAAGUCGAACGCUGAAGCGAGGAGCUUGCUCUUCUUGGAUGAGUUGCGAACGGGUGAGUAACGCGUAGGUAACCUGCCUUGUAGCGGGGGAUAACUAUUGGAAACGAUAGCUAAUACCGCAUAACAAUGGAUGACACAUGUCAUUUAUUUGAAAGGGGCAAUUGCUCCACUACAAGAUGGACCUGCGUUGUAUUAGCUAGUAGGUGAGGUAACGGCUCACCUAGGCGACGAUACAUAGCCGACCUGAGAGGGUGAUCGGCCACACUGGGACUGAGACACGGCCCAGACUCCUACGGGAGGCAGCAGUAGGGAAUCUUCGGCAAUGGGGGCAACCCUGACCGAGCAACGCCGCGGGAGUGAAGAAGGUUUUCGGAUCGUAAAGCUCUGUUGUAAGUCAAGAACGAGUGUGAGAGUGGAAAGUUCACACUGUGACGGUAGCUUACCAGAAAGGGACGGCUAACUACGUG
RNAcentral lists this ribosomal RNA (497 nucleotides) under uncultured bacterium. RNAcentral's name for it is "partial 16S ribosomal RNA". It matches the Rfam family "Bacterial small subunit ribosomal RNA", at positions 28 to 507 of the family's 1533-position model. The record is from RNAcentral.